GAAAUGCGAUAAGUAAUGUGAAUUGCAUAAUUCAGUGAAUCAUCGAAUCUUUGAACGCACCUUGCGCUCCUUGGUAUUCCUUGGAGCAUGCCUGUUUGAGUAUCAUGAAAUCUUCAAAGUAAAUCUUUUGUUAACUCAAUUGGUUUCUACUUUGGUAUUGGAGGUCUUUGCAGCUUCACACCUGCUCCUCUUUGUUCAUUAGCUGGAUCUCAGUGUUAUGCUUGGUUCCACUCGGCGUGAUAAGUUAUCUAUCGCUGAGGACACUGUAAAAGGUGGCCAAGGUAAAUGCAGAUGAACCGCUUCUAAUAGUCCAUUGACUUGGACAAUACUUUUAUGAUCUGAUCUCAAAUCAGGUAGGACUACCGCUGAACUUAAGC
RNAcentral lists this unclassified non-coding RNA (377 nucleotides) under plant metagenome. RNAcentral's name for it is "partial contains 5.8S ribosomal RNA, internal transcribed spacer 2, and large subunit ribosomal RNA". The stretch from base 1 to 105 matches the Rfam family "5.8S ribosomal RNA", at positions 50 to 154 of the family's 154-position model. The record is from RNAcentral.